CUCAGGAUUCAUUUCAACUCUCAAAUAAUAUGAAACCCUAGAAAAAAAAGAAGAAGAAAAAAAAAACCAAGUGGGUUGAUGUAUAAGA
This 88-nucleotide small RNA is filed under the name Arabidopsis thaliana (thale cress). RNAcentral describes it as "ATSL082200". Lineage: Eukaryota; Viridiplantae; Streptophyta; Magnoliopsida; Brassicales; Brassicaceae. The record is from RNAcentral.